GAGGAAUAUUGGACAAUGGAUGGAAAUCUGAUCCAGCCAUGCCGCGUGCAGGAAGACGGCCCUAUGGGUUGUAAACUGCUUUUGUAUGGGAGCAAUAAGGACUACGUGUAGUUUGAUGAGAGUACCAUACGAAUAAGCAUCGGCUAACUCCGUGCCAGCAGCCGCGGUAAUACGGAGGAUGCGAGCGUUAUCCGGAUUUAUUGGGUUUAAAGGGUGCGUAGGCGGCGAUAUAAGUCAGUGGUGAAAUAUUUCGGCUUAACCGAGAGACUGCCAUUGAUACUGUGUUGCUAGAAUAUGGUUGCUGUGAGUGGAAUGUGUUGUGUAGCGGUGAAAUGCUUAGAUAUCACACAGAAUAUCGAUUGCGAAGGCAGCUCACAAAGCCAUUAUUGACGCUGAGGCAC
Molecule: ribosomal RNA, 401 nt
Filed under: uncultured bacterium
Lineage: Bacteria
Description: bacterial SSU rRNA
Rfam family: Bacterial small subunit ribosomal RNA
Source: RNAcentral